Molecule: non-coding RNA, 32 nt
Filed under: Rattus norvegicus (Norway rat)
Lineage: Eukaryota; Metazoa; Chordata; Mammalia; Rodentia; Muridae
Source: RNAcentral
UAAGGUGCUUAAGAAUGUUGACAUGUUGGUCU